This 588-nucleotide ribosomal RNA is filed under the name Paraconiothyrium brasiliense. Its description in RNAcentral is "eukaryotic LSU rRNA". The stretch from base 230 to 383 matches the Rfam family "5.8S ribosomal RNA". The record is from RNAcentral. Lineage: Eukaryota; Fungi; Ascomycota; Dothideomycetes; Pleosporales; Didymosphaeriaceae.
UGUAGCGACUGCGGAUGACAUUAUCUAUUCCAUGAGGUGCGGUCGCGGCCCUCGGCGGGAGCAACAGCUACCGUCGGGCGGUAGAGGUAACACUUUCACGCGCCGCAUGUCUGAAUCCUUUUUUUACGAGCACCUUUCGUUCUCCUUCGGCGGGGCAACCUGCCGUUGGAACCUAUCAAAACCUUUUUUUGCAUCUAGCAUUACCUGUUCUGAUACAAACAAUCGUUACAACUUUCAACAAUGGAUCUCUUGGCUCUGGCAUCGAUGAAGAACGCAGCGAAAUGCGAUAAGUAGUGUGAAUUGCAGAAUUCAGUGAAUCAUCGAAUCUUUGAACGCACAUUGCGCCCCUUGGUAUUCCAUGGGGCAUGCCUGUUCGAGCGUCAUCUACACCCUCAAGCUCUGCUUGGUGUUGGGCGUCUGUCCCGCCUCUGCGCGCGGACUCGCCCCAAAUUCAUUGGCAGCGGUCCUUGCCUCCUCUCGCGCAGCACAUUGCGCUUCUCGAGGUGCGCGGCCCGCGUCCACGAAGCAACAUUACCGUCUUUGACCUCGGAUCAGGUAGGGAUACCCGCUGAACUUAAGCAUAUCAAA